GAAUUCGCCCUUAGAGUUUGAUCCUGGCUCAGGACGAACGCUGGCGGCGUGCCUAACACAUGCAAGUCGAGCGAUGAAAGAGAAGUGGCGGUCUUCGGACCAAAGCAUUUCUGGAUUAGCGGCGGACGGGUGAGUAACACGUGAGCAACCUGCCUAUCACAUCGGGAUAGCCUCGGGAAACUGGGAUUAAUACCGAAUGAAACAUAUUGAUAACCUUAUCGAAAUGUCAAAGAUUUAUCGGUGAUAGAUGGGCUCGCGUCUGAUUAGCUAGUUGGUGAGAUAAAAGCCCACCAAGGCAAUGAUCAGUAGCCGGCCUGAGAGGGUGAUCGGCCACAUUGGGACUGAGACACGGCCCAAACUCCUACGGGAGGCAGCAGUGGGGAAUAUUGCACAAUGGAGGGAACUCUGAUGCAGCGACGCCGCGUGAGCGAAGAAGGAAUUCGUUUCGUAAAGCUCUGUCCUAUGGGAAGAUAAUGACGGUACCAUAGAAGAAAGCCCCGGCUAACUACGUGCCAGCAGCCGCGGUAAUACGUAGGGGGCGAGCGUUGUCCGGAAUUAUUGGGCGUAAAGGGUUCGUAGGCGGUAAUACAUGUCAGAUGUGAAAUCUUGUGGCUUAACCACAUCAAGCAUCUGAAACUGUAUAACUUGAGUGGAGGAGAGGUAAGUGGAAUUCCUAGUGUAGCGGUGAAAUGCGUAGAUAUUAGGAAGAAUACCGGUAGCGAAGGCGACUUACUGGCCUCUAACUGACGCUGAUGAACGGAAGCGUGGGUAGCAAACAGGAUUAGAUACCCUGGUAGUCCACGCCGUAAA
This 810-nucleotide ribosomal RNA is filed under the name uncultured bacterium. RNAcentral's name for it is "bacterial SSU rRNA". It matches the Rfam family "Bacterial small subunit ribosomal RNA", at positions 1 to 806 of the family's 1533-position model. The record is from RNAcentral.